UUUUGGUUGUGUUUUCAAUUUGUACACAAAUUCAGGAACAAAAGUUUGCACGAGUUGUAGCAGCCAUGAUAAUUAGUUGAAAGAUUCUUCCCAAUGUUUUGAAAAUUGUUGUUGCCUUCAACGGUUUUGAGGUCUCAACGAUUUUCGAAAAUCGGUAAAGGCCUAAACGAUUUUCAAAAAUAAGUGAAGGCCUCCACGGUUUUAAAAAUCAGUUAAAGGUCUCAAUGGUUUUCCUCCUCACUAGUUUUUCCAAAUCAAUGCACAUCAGGCCAAACCAACAUUAUUCAAAGUCUAUAACUAUGCAAAUGUAAAAAAAAAAAAAGAAAAAAAAUGAACAAAUACCUUAUCUUUCCUUGCUUUGAAAAAGUAACUAUGCAAAGGGUGUUGUAGUGGUAUGUGGUGGUAUGAAACUUUGUCUAUGCAAAGGUGGUGAUGGAAUGACACGAAGAGAAGAACAAGAAUGGAGAAGAGAAUAAGAAGAACAAAGGACAGGGGGCAGUGG
Molecule: long non-coding RNA, 502 nt
Filed under: Vigna radiata
Lineage: Eukaryota; Viridiplantae; Streptophyta; Magnoliopsida; Fabales; Fabaceae
Description: long non-coding RNA (VRAD_LNC009547)
Source: RNAcentral